CCACAUCGGCAAGAGUGGGGGAAACAGGGCCAUGGCCAAAGACAAAGGCGUUGAGUGUGUCUGACCAGAAGUAUGAUGCAGCUAUCAGCAGUGACUCGUUUCUAUGCAUAUCGGCAAUAGACAACCUAAUGCAUUGGGCUAGAUUUCUUUCACCCCAUUGGACUUCAUUUGAGUUGCUGACCCUCAAAAACCAAUCUGUCCACCCCAUGGUAGGGCUGGGCCAGGAACGAAAAGUAUCCUUCCACAGAUCCAAAGAAAAGUUCUCUACUCUAAAAGGGAUCCUGUUGGUUUCUAAGUUUAUGAGGUCGGUUGGAUCUGGAUCCCCUAACGGGCCAAGGCAUUGGAGAUGUGGUCGAUCAGUGGGGAUGACAAUUUUGUUAGCCGAUUCCUAAUGAUUUUUGAGAUAUAAAAAAAACACAAAAAAAGAGAAGGGGGAAAAAAUAUUCAGUACGGCGGAUUGCAGAUGAACAAGGGUGCGAGAAAAGUACGAGAGAUGGUGCGGAGAACUGACCUCAGGAAUGAUGAAGUUGACGGCCAUCUUGUCACGAGGGAGACGAACGAGGGCUUCGGAGUUGAUGAAGAAGGGACUUCGUCGAAGGUUUCGGAGCUUUUGGAACAGCGCCGCCGCCGGGAAGGUGAGGUUGGAGUUGUGGAAUGGU
Molecule: long non-coding RNA, 659 nt
Filed under: Sorghum bicolor (sorghum)
Lineage: Eukaryota; Viridiplantae; Streptophyta; Magnoliopsida; Poales; Poaceae
Description: long non-coding RNA (SBIC_LNC009989)
Source: RNAcentral